GACCACCAUUAUUUAACUUUUGAAUAACUUUGAAGCGAACAGCCCAGGAUCAUCUAUGAACUUAACAUCUUACGUAAAUAACUACUUUAAACAACAUGAGAAACUUUAUUUGCAUCUAUUUGGUACUUUGACCUCUGUCUGAGCAACCCGGCGACCUGUCUUCGCACAUAUAUGACGCUUGAUCCCGCAUUGAAUCCCAACCAAUGGCUGAUGAGGUGGUGCCUCUUUCUUCAGCCGUAUAAUCUGGAUGUUCGGCACAUUAAAGGCCCAGAGAACAUAGUGACAGAUGCUCUCUCGCGUGCCCCAGAGUGUGCAGAAUGAGUGUGCAUCUGGGUCAUGUUCUGCGCUGUUCCGCCUCUAGCAGGUGAGUUUUAAUUAUCUCAUAAUCAAUCGCUGGUGCCAGACGGUCACAGAAGGUAACACUGGAGGAAGGGCUCCAUGAUCUCGUCUCCUCGCUUCUCCUCUCGUCUCCAUGAUCUCGUAUCCUCGCUUCUCCUCUCGUCUCCAGGAUCUCGUCUCCUCGCUUCUCCUCAUCUCCAUGAUCUCAUCUCCUCACUUCUCCUCUCGUCUCCAUGAUCUCGUCUCCUCGCUGCUUCAUGUAGACCUUGGAGUGUUCACUUAUCUCAUGAGCUCUGGGACCUCAGUCCCACCCUCUGCUCUUACAACUUGACCUUCAUAUCCCAUCUAUGACAUGACCAAAAUAGCAACCAAUAAGUCUAUGCCCACUGAAUUAAAAUGCUUGCACUGUUUUACUAAA
This is a long non-coding RNA of Alosa sapidissima (American shad), 757 nucleotides long. RefSeq lists it as uncharacterized. The record is from RefSeq and is a predicted model, not a curated record. The transcript is spliced from 4 exons. Lineage: Eukaryota; Metazoa; Chordata; Actinopteri; Clupeiformes; Clupeidae.